AAAGGAGCUCACCAAGGCCUGAGCAGGUGACAGGCAAAGGCUCCAGGAAGCAGGCAGGAGGCCACACGUGGUGAGAUAAACCCACCAAAAGGCAUGGCUCCUCUGAACAGCUGUGACUAAUUCAUCUAGUUCUUUGUGAGAAAUCACCGUGAUGCUAUGUAAGCCGGCUUGAUAAGUGAAUUUCAUGACCCCUGGAAGCUAAAGUUACAGGGAGGACAGCCCUGAAGCCAUCUGGUCCCCUGGCCUUGAACAUCCAUUAUCAUAUUUUCUCAAGCAACAAUGUCAAAGGAAAUCCUUUCAGAGACUGCAAUUCUGAGUAGUGAAUUUUCCACCUAUUAUAUGGCAUUUCCAUAAAACAUCAUCGUGGGGAUCAUUAAAGCACUCCUACACGGGGAAUCAGAAGACCAAAGGAAGUUUGCCCAAAUCUCAAGACUCCAUGUAUCAGGGACACCACCUAGAAAGAAAACCCGCUGAACACCAUUGCUGAACUCCUGCUGCUGCCUGCUGGCUCCUGAACCAACCACGACAUGGGAAAAGUGUGCCCUCUCCUAAAGCUAAGAGCAUCACAUCAGCAGGAGGGGACAUGAGGUGACUCCUGAGCUCCAUACUCUACAGCAUCUGGUCAGUUAAGCGGAAGUUCAAGCUGAUGACAAACACACUGUUUUAGUAGCAGCCAAGGGUCCCAGCAGAGCCAGGGCCUGCUCCGAUUUGUGUACGUGGCUUCUCUCCCAUCCACGAGGCCUAAAGGGGUCGGGUACAAAGAAAUGGGGAUUCCACGAGCCGCCCGUGUAUACUUCUGCUCUUCCGAAGCUACUGCCUUCGUGAAGCUGAAGACACACAGUAAAAGCUGAAAUCUAAGAACACAGGGCAUGCGAAGGACAGGAAUGGACAAUCAAAAUCACAUGUCAAAGUGUCUCGGGACCCAAAGGUGUGAGCUGGGACAAGCCGUGUUUCUUCUGCUGUGAACUUAGUGAUCUUUUCCGGCAAAAAGACUUGAUCUUCACAUUCUACAGGGAGUGGGUUUUUUUUUCCCCCUACUUUCUCUCUCUCUUUUUUUUUCUUAUAUUCAAUUUUAGGAUACAAAGUCAUAUGUGUACAUUUGUAGAUUCAUAAAUCCCUACUGGGAACACU
Molecule: long non-coding RNA, 1131 nt
Organism: Mus musculus (house mouse)
Lineage: Eukaryota; Metazoa; Chordata; Mammalia; Rodentia; Muridae
Product: RIKEN cDNA 9430014N10 gene
Exons: 4
Source: RefSeq, marked validated